This 251-nucleotide ribosomal RNA is filed under the name uncultured prokaryote. RNAcentral describes it as "partial 16S ribosomal RNA". It matches the Rfam family "Bacterial small subunit ribosomal RNA", at positions 525 to 775 of the family's 1533-position model. The record is from RNAcentral.
ACGUAGGGUGCGAGCGUUUAUCGGAAUUACUGGGCGUAAAGCGUGCGCAGGCGGUUUUGUAAGUCAGAUGUGAAAUCCCCGGGCUUAACCUGGGAACUGCAUUUGAGACUGCAAGGCUGGAGUGUGGCAGAGGGGGGUAGAAUUCCACGUGUAGCAGUGAAAUGCGUAGAGAUGUGGAGGAAUACCGAUGGCGAAGGCAGCCCCCUGGGCCAAUACUGACGCUCAUGCGCGAAAGCGUGGGGAGCAAACAG